RNAcentral lists this ribosomal RNA (253 nucleotides) under uncultured bacterium. RNAcentral describes it as "partial 16S ribosomal RNA". It matches the Rfam family "Bacterial small subunit ribosomal RNA", at positions 524 to 776 of the family's 1533-position model. The record is from RNAcentral.
UACGAAGGGGGCUAGCGUUGCUCGGAAUUACUGGGCGUAAAGCGCACGUAGGCGGUUUCUUAAGUCGGGGGUGAAAUCCUGGAGCUCAACUCCAGAACUGCCUUCGAUACUGAGAGACUUGAGUUCGGGAGAGGUGAGUGGAACUGCGAGUGUAGAGGUGAAAUUCGUAGAUAUUCGCAAGAACACCAGUGGCGAAGGCGGCUCACUGGCCCGAUACUGACGCUGAGGCGCGAAAGCUAGGGGAGCAAACGGG